GUGGGCGCCGUAGACCUCGUGCAUGGCGGCGGGGCGGGGGUAGGCGGAGCCCUGCGCGCCCAGGACGGACGGGGAAUAGAGUCACAAACUUGAAAGGCUGAACGAAUAUUUUGAAGUCUUGCUAUCCUGCAUUUAAAUAAGCGUGUCUGCAGCUGCUAAGGGCAGUUUCUUUAGACACGAAUGAUUGGAUUCGGAUAUUGCAGACAGAGGGGCUUUCAGCUGGAACUCGGGUACCAUGGAGAACUCAUGGAAGACAAGGUUGCGGGGAGAAAUGAAGGGAGGCCAAGGCAGGCUCCUUCUCGCUUCGGGCCACCUACUCCGGGCAGGACAGGGGCCUGUUUCAGCGUCCCUGGCCAAGACACGCGACACAUUUCAGCAUGGCACAUCUUCAUGGACACCACUUUUCAACUUGCUUCCAACGCUGCCAUUGAAUCUAAUGAGUCCCCCUACUGUUAAUGCUAAGAAAGAGAGGGGGGGAAACAUCAGCUGUUAUUUCUAUCCGGUAUUCUAGAUCUCCUGCAACAAACGGCAGGUAAAUCGGGAAGACGUGUGUAAUAUUCUGCCUGAACAAAGACGGGUCAGCUAAACCUUCCCUAGCCAUGUGCAAGCAAAGCAGUCUGAAUGCAU
This is a long non-coding RNA of Mauremys mutica (yellowpond turtle), 627 nucleotides long. RefSeq lists it as uncharacterized. Lineage: Eukaryota; Metazoa; Chordata; Testudines; Geoemydidae. The record is from RefSeq and is a predicted model, not a curated record. The transcript has 3 exons.